AUGCCUAGCCGUAAAUAUUAACUCACACCACACACGCCAGGGAAUUACGAGCUUAGCUUAAAACCCAAAGGACUUGACGGUGUCCCACCCAACUAAAGGAGCCUGCCCUAGAAUCGAUAACCCCCGCUUAACCCCACCAUUUCUCGCUUAUCAGUUAGUAUACUUCCGUCGUCAGCCUACCACAUGAGUGUGCACAGUGGGCUCAAKGGUCUUUACACCAAAACGUCAGGUCAAGGUGCAGCUUAAGAGAUGGGCUGAGGUGGGCUACAAUUUCUAAACGAACAUACGAAAUACCCAAUGAAACAAGGUCAUGAAGGUGGAUCUAGUAGUAAGAAGAAAAUAGCGUGUUCUUUUUAAUAACGGCACUGGGACGCGUACAAACCGCCCGUCACCCUCUUCAACAAUAAUUAAAAUAGUAUAUAACACCAAAUGUACACCUAGAAGAGGCAAGUCGUAACAAGGUAAGUGUACUGGAAAGUGCACUUGGAUAAA
Molecule: ribosomal RNA, 492 nt
Filed under: Occidozyga laevis
Lineage: Eukaryota; Metazoa; Chordata; Amphibia; Anura; Dicroglossidae
Description: partial 12S small subunit ribosomal RNA
Source: RNAcentral